This 336-nucleotide long non-coding RNA is filed under the name Homo sapiens (human). Its description in RNAcentral is "non-protein coding lnc-CELF2-9:1". Lineage: Eukaryota; Metazoa; Chordata; Mammalia; Primates; Hominidae. The record is from RNAcentral.
AUGGAUGGAGAGGAGAAAACCUGUGGUGGCUGUGAAGGCCCUGAUGCGAUGUAUGUGAAAUUGAUAUCAUCUGAUGGCCAUGAAUUUAUUGUAAAAAGAGAACAUGCAUUAACAUCAGGCACAAUAAAAACCACAUUGGGUGGCCCAGGUCAGUCUGCUGUGAAUGAAACCAAUGAGGUCAAUUUUAGAGAGAUACCUUCGCGUGUGCUAUCAAAAGUAUGCACGUAUUUUAUGUAUAAGGUUCGCUACCCUAACAGCUCCACCGAGGUUCCAGAGCUCCCAAUUGCACCUGAAAUUGCACUAGAACUGUUAAUGGAUGUGAGCUUCCUAGAUUGU